AUCCCCUUAAGUUGAUCCUGGCUCACGACGAACGCUGGCGGCGCGCCUAACACAUGCAAGUCGAACGAGAGAGAGGGAGCUUGCUUCCUCAAUCGAGUGGCGAACGGGUGAGUAACGCGUGAGGAACCUGCCUCAAAGAGGGGGACAACAGUUGGAAACGACUGCUAAUACCGCAUAAGCCCACAGCUCGGCAUCGAGCAGAGGGAAAAGGAGCAAUCCGCUUUGAGAUGGCCUCGCGUCCGAUUAGCUGGUUGGUGAGGUAACGGCCCACCAAGGCGACGAUCGGUAGCCGGACUGAGAGGUUGAACGGCCACAUUGGGACUGAGACACGGCCCAGACUCCUACGGGAGGCAGCAGUGGGGAAUAUUGCACAAUGGGGGAAACCCUGAUGCAGCGACGCCGCGUGGAGGAAGAAGGUCUUCGGAUUGUAAACUCCUGUUGUUGAGGAAGAUAAUGACGGUACUCAACAAGGAAGUGACGGCUAACUACGUGCCAGCAGCCGCGGUAAAACGUAGGUCACAAGCGUUGUCCGGAAUUACUGGGUGUAAAGGGAGCGCAGGCGGGAAGACAAGUUGGAAGUGAAAUCUAUGGGCUCAACCCAUAAACUGCUUUCAAAACUGUNUUUCUUGAGUAGUGCAGAGGUAGGCGGAAUUCCCGGUGUAGCGGUGGAAUGCGUAGAUAUCGGGAGGAACACAGUGGCGAAGGCGGCCUACUGGGCACCAACUGACGCUGAGGCUCGAAAGUGUGGGUAGCAAACAGGAUUAGAUACCCUGGUAGUCCACACCGUAAACGAUGAUUACUAGGUGUUGGAGGAUUGACCCCUUCAGUGCCGCAGUUAACACAAUAAGUAAUCCACCUGGGGAGUACGACCGCAAGGUUGAAACUCAAAGGAAUUGACGGGGGCCCGCACAAGCAGUGGAGUAUGUGGUUUAAUUCGACGCAACGCGAAGAACCUUACCAAGUCUUGACAUCCUGCGACGGACAUAGAAAUAUGUGUUUCCUUCGGGACGCAGAGACAGGUGGUGCAUGGUUGUCGUCAGCUCGUGUCGUGAGAUGUUGGGUUAAGUCCCGCAACGAGCGCAACCCUUACUGUCAGUUACUACGCAAGAGGACUCUGGCAGGACUGCCGUUGACAAAACGGAGGAAGGUGGGGAUGACGUCAAAUCAUCAUGCCCUUUAUGACUUGGGCUACACACGUACUACAAUGGCGUUAAACAAAGAGAAGCAAGACCGCGAGGUGGAGCAAAACUCAGAAACAACGUCCCAGUUCGGACUGCAGGCUGCAACUCGCCUGCACGAAGUCGGAAUUGCUAGUAAUCGUGGAUCAGCAUGCCACGGUGAAUACGUUCCNCGGGCCCUUGUACACACCGCCCGU
This 1375-nucleotide ribosomal RNA is filed under the name uncultured bacterium. RNAcentral describes it as "16S ribosomal RNA". It matches the Rfam family "Bacterial small subunit ribosomal RNA". The record is from RNAcentral.